AAUGAACGUUGGCGGCGUGGAUUAGGCAUGCAAGUCGCGCGCGAUGUGUAGCAAUACAUUGAAAGCGGCGAAAGGGAGAGUAACGCGUGGAUACCUACCCUGAGGCCCGGGAUAGCUGCGGGAAACUGCAGGUAAUACCGGAUAAUGUCUCUGGACCAAAGGUGUGAUUCCUCCUUAGGAUGGGUCCGCGUCCUAUUAGCUAGUUGGUGAGGUAAUGGCUCACCAAGGCGACGAUGGGUACUGGGUGUGAGAGCACGACCCAGCUCACUGGGACUGAGACACUGCCCAGACACCUACGGGUGGCUGCAGUCGAGAAUCUUCCGCAAUGGGCGAAAGCCUGACGGAGCGACGCCGCGUGUGGGAUGAAGGCCUUCGGGUUGUAAACCACUGUCAGUUGGGAGGAAGUGUUUAGGGGUUCUCCCCUAGGCUUGACCGAUCUUCAGAGGAAGUCCGGGCUAAGCUCGUGCCAGCAGCCGCAGUAA
Molecule: ribosomal RNA, 482 nt
Filed under: uncultured bacterium
Lineage: Bacteria
Description: partial 16S ribosomal RNA
Rfam family: Bacterial small subunit ribosomal RNA
Source: RNAcentral